RNAcentral lists this long non-coding RNA (384 nucleotides) under Ananas comosus (pineapple). Its description in RNAcentral is "long non-coding RNA (ACOM_LNC004211)". Lineage: Eukaryota; Viridiplantae; Streptophyta; Magnoliopsida; Poales; Bromeliaceae. The record is from RNAcentral.
AAUCCGAAACUGUUUUUCCACUCAUCUCCUAAAGCAAGCUUGUUCCUACUGAGAACAAACUUAGGUUUAGUUUGGUAUUGAGGUAGAUCUAACAUUAUUAGAUAAAAUGGAGUUGAGAAAAAGCAUAUAGAGAUAUACUUCUGCGUUCUAUCAGAGCAUAUAGAGAUAUACUUCUGCGUUCUCUGAUAGAACUGUAGAAAAUAUAUCGUAACCGACCAAUCGCAAUAUGCGUAACCUAAUAUUACAUACGAAAACAAAUAGGGUAUUAAAUUAACUAUUUACUUUAAUAAAUUUAUAGUUAUAAAAAUUAUAUGAAAUAUAAUAACUAAAUAUGUAAAGAUAAACAAUGUAUCCAUAUUUCGAAGUUAAUGUAUCUUUAAUUGC